UGUGGGGGGGGAUAUGGGCUGGGUCUGUCCCCAUCCACACGGAUAUCACCUCCAUUGUCCCCAUCCCCACUGAUGUCACCUCCAUGGUCCCAUUCCCAGCUCUUGGUCACUGUCACCUCCAUUGUCCCCACCCCCCGGUGAUGCCAUCUCCAUGGUCCCCAUCCCCAUGCAGUGUCACCUCCAUUGUCCCCAUUCCCAUGAAUGUCACCACUCUGGUCCCCCCCAUCUGUCAGUGUCACCUCCAUGGUCUUCAUCCCCUUGAAUGUCACCACCGUGGUCCCCAUCCUCAGUCAAUGUCACCUCCAUUGUCCCCAUCUCUAGACGGUGUCACCUCCAUGGUCCCCAUUCCCAGCUCUUGGUCAGUGUCACCUCCAUUGUCCUGAUCCCCAGGUGAUGCCACCUCUAUGGUCCCCAUUCCCAGCUCUUGGUCAGUGUCACCUCCAUUGUCCCCACCCCCAGGUGAUGCCAUCUCCAUGGUCCCCAUUUCUGUGCAGUGUCACCUCUGUUGUCCCCAUUCCCAUGAAUGUCACCACCCCGGGCCCCAUCCUCACUCAGUGUCACCUCCAUGGUCCCCAUCCCCAGCUGAUGUCACCUCCGCAGUCCUCAUCCUCAGCCUUUGGCCACUGUCACCACCGUGGUCCUCAUCCCCAGCUGAUGUCACCUCUAUGAUCCCCAUCUCCACGUGGUGUCACCACCACGGUCCCCACCCCCACGUGACGCCAUCACUGUAGUCCCCAUCCACCUCAAUGCCAGUUCCCAGCCGAUGUCACCUCCACGGUCCCCAUCCCCAGAUGAUGUCACCACCGUGCUUCCCAUCCCCAUGUGAUGUCACUUCCACAGUCCUCACACCCACGAGAUGUCACCCCUCAUUCCCCAUCCCCAGUCAAUGUCACCUCCACGGUCCCCAUCCCUACAUGAUGUCACCUCCAUGGCCCCCGUCCCCAGCCCUUGCUCAGUGUCACCUCCAUUGUCUCAAUCCGCAUGAAAUGUCAUUGCUGUGGUCCCCAUCCCUCGAUGAUGUCACCUCCAUGGCCCCCAUCUCCAUGGGAUGUCACCACUGUGUCCCCCUCCCCAUGAGAUAUCACCACCCCGGGCCCCAUCCUCAGCCAAUGUCACCUCCAUGGCCCCCGUCCCCAGCCCUUGCUCAGUGUCACAACCACUGUCUCCAUCCCCAUGAGAUGUCACUGCUGUGGUCCCCAUUCCCAGAUGAUGUCACCUCCAUGGUCCCUCUCUUCAGCCCUUGGUGUCACCUCCAUUGUCCCCAUUGCCAUGGGAUGUCACCACUGUGGUCCCCAACCUCAGCCAAUGUCACCUCCAUUGUUCCCAUCCCCAGCUGAUGUCACCUCCAUGGUCCCCAUUCCCAUGAAUGUCACCACCACGGUCCCCAUUCUCAGCCAAUGUCACCUCCAUUGUCCCUAUCCCCAACUAAUGUCACCUCCAUGGUCCCAUUCCCAGCUCUUCGUCAGUGUCACCUUCAUUGUCCCCACUCCCAGGUGAUGCCACCAUCACUGUUGUCCCCAUCCCCAUGCAGUGUCACCUCCAUCGUCCCCAUUCCCAUGAAUGUCACCACUUUGGUCCCCACCCUCAGUCAUGUCACCUCCAUGGUCCCCAUCUCUAGAUGAUGUCACCUCCAUUGGCCCCAUUCCUGUGAAUGUCACCAGUCUGGUCCCCACCCUCAGUCAGUGUCACCUCCAUUGUUCCCAUCCCCAGAUGAUGUCACCUCCAUGGUCCCCAUUCCCAUGAAUGUCACCACCACUGUCCACAUUCUCAGCCAAUGUCACCUCCAUUGUCCCUAUCCCCAACUAAUGUCACCUCCAUGGUCCCAUUCCCAGCUCUUCGUCAGUGUCACCUUCAUUGUCCCCACUCCCAGGUGAUGCCACCAUCACUGUUGUCCCCAUCCCCAUGCAGUGUCACCUCCAUCGUCCCCAUUCCCAUG
Molecule: long non-coding RNA, 1936 nt
Filed under: Chrysolophus pictus (golden pheasant)
Lineage: Eukaryota; Metazoa; Chordata; Aves; Galliformes; Phasianidae
Description: lncRNA (ENSCPIG00010013918.1)
Source: RNAcentral